Molecule: ribosomal RNA, 1881 nt
Filed under: human gut metagenome
Description: bacterial LSU rRNA
Rfam family: Bacterial large subunit ribosomal RNA
Source: RNAcentral
UCAAGCUACAAAGAGCACAAGGGGAAUGCCUUGGCACCGAGAGCCGAAGAAGGACGUGACUAACUGCGAUAAGCUGCGGGGAGCCGUAAGUAGGCUUUGAUCCGCAGAUUUCCGAAUGGAGCAAUCCGGCAAGAGGAAAGUCUUGUCAUCAUAUACUGAAUACAUAGGUAUAUGAGGGGAACCGCCUGAACUGAAACAUCUAAGUAGGGCGAGGAAGAGAAAUCAACUGAGAUUCCGUAAGUAGUGGCGAGCGAACGCGGAAGAGGCCAAACCGAGAGUAGUAAUACUUUCGGGGUUCGGACAGAAUACGGUAUUGUAAAGGUUUAGUGGAAUGGAAUGGGAAGUCCAACCGAAGAAGGUGAGAGUCCUGUACACGAAAAGCCUGAACAGCCAUCUGUAUCCAGAGUACCGCCGGACACGUGAAACCCGGUGGGAAUAUGGGGGGACCAUCCUCCAAGCCUAAAUACUACUCGGUGACCGAUAGUGAAGAAGUACUGUGAAGGAAAGGUGAAAAGUACCCCUGACGGGGAGUGAAAAAGAACCUGAAACCUUGUGUUUACAAGCACCGAAAGCUCAUCAAAGAGCGAUCGGGUACCUUUUGUAGAAUGGUCCGGCGAGUGAAUGUAACCGGCGAGGUUAAGCACUUAAGGUGUGAAGCCGCAGCGAGAGCAAGUCUGAAUAGGGCGUAUGAAGUCGGUUGUAUUCGACCCGAAACCGGGUGACCUACCCAUGGUCAGGUUGAAGUAAAGGUAAAACUUUAUGGAGGACCGAACCGACUCCCGUUGAAAUGGUAGCGGAUGAACUGUGGGUAGCGGAGAAAUUCCAAUCGAACCCGGAGAUAGCUGGUUCUCUCCGAAAUAGCUUUAGGGCUAGCCUUGAAAUAGAUUACCGGAGGUAAAGCACUGAAUUGGCUAGGGGCCGAGAGGUUACUGAACCUUAUCAAACUAAGAAUGCCGGAUAAUCGUUUUUCAGGAGUCAGACAGUGGGAGAUAAGUUUCAUUGUCAAAAGGGAAACAGCCCAGACCCACAGCUAAGGUCCCCAAGUAUAGUUAAGUGGAAAAGGAUGUGGAAUUGCACAGACAACCAGGAUGUUGGCUUAGAAGCAGCCACUCAUUAAAAGAGUGCGUAAUAGCUCACUGGUCGAGUGACUCUGCGCCGAAAAUUUAACGGGGCUAAACUAUACACCGAAGCUUGGGAUACAUCUAAUGUAUGGUAGGAGAGCGUUCUGUAUGGGGAGAAGUCGUAGCGAAAGCGGCGGUGGACUAUACAGAAGUGAGAAUGCCGGAAUAAGUAGCGAGAAUUAAGUGAGAAUCUUAAUGGCCGAAAGUCUAAGGUUUUUGGAGGAAGGUUCGUCCGCUCCAAGUAAGUCGGGAGCUAAGGUCAGGCCGAAAGGCGUAGCCGAUGCACAUACGGUUGAUAUUCCGUAACCAUCUGUAAUUUAAGCAAAGGGACACUUCAAAAGGGUGUGACCCGGGCGUUGGUUGACCCGGGCGUAAGGGACCGAAAUUAGAGUAGGGAAGCACACUUAGCUGAAGGCGAGAAAAGCUUUGCGUAUAGAAACAGAUGCCCGUACCGCAAACCGACACAGGUGGACAGGAAGAGAAUUCUAAGGCCAGCGGGAGAAGGGUAGUUAAGGAACUCGGCAAAUUGACUCCGUAACUUCGGAAUAAGGAGUGCUCGAAAGAGCCGCAGAGAAUAGGCCCAGGCGACUGUUUAGCAAAAACACAGGUCUCUGCCAAAUCGAAAGAUGAAGUAUAGGGGCUGACACCUGCCCGGUGCCGGAAGGUUAAGAGGAGGAGUGAGAGCUCCGAAUUGAAGCCCCGGUAAACGGCGGCCGUAACUAUAACGGUCCUAAGGUAGCGAAAUUCCUUGUCAGGUAAG